UUGCUACAAAACAUAUUACGAAAAAUAGUUGAUUUGGUAUUCUCCAUUUCUUCAUAUCCCUUUUUUCGGAGACGCUACCAACCAUGGUGUUGGCUCAUCUUUUCAAAAAGUUGGGCCAUAUCAUAGCGUCCAUAAUCACGGAAAAGAAUCCUGCCACCUGGCUUCAAAUACUAAGAUAUACGAAAAAAUGCACAUUUAACAAAUAAUUCAUCAAAUCAGUCUUGGUCAGCCGACAAACUUCUUUUUAAGCAUUAUACAGAUGUUUAGCCUUCUCUGUUAAUCAUCAAAGAGACUUUGCAUUUAAUUUUUUAAACUGACUUACUUGUCAG
Long non-coding RNA from Dendronephthya gigantea, 329 nucleotides. RefSeq lists it as uncharacterized. NCBI's taxonomy places the organism in Eukaryota, Metazoa, Cnidaria, Anthozoa, Malacalcyonacea, Nephtheidae. The record is from RefSeq and is a predicted model, not a curated record. The transcript has 3 exons.